Non-coding RNA from Pelobates cultripes (western spadefoot toad), 655 nucleotides. The record is from the annotation of a GenBank genome assembly. Lineage: Eukaryota; Metazoa; Chordata; Amphibia; Anura; Pelobatidae.
GUUUUCUUCAAAACCAUGGCUGGAUCUUAAACCGAAAAAAAUCAGUACUCAUCCCCACGAGAGAGAGAGUUUCUCGGAUUCACGAUAGAUUCAGUCUACAUGUCAAUUUUUCUUCCCAAACGAAAAAGGAGGAAAACCAGAGAAGAGAUUUCCAAUCUCCAAAGGAUGGAAACUUGUUCCUUCAGACAGGCAAUGGGUGUUUUGGGUCUUCUAAUUGCCACCUUUCCAGCUGUCAAAUGGGCAAGGUCGGAGGUCAGGCCGUUGCAAUGGAAUAUCCUCACUACCUGGAAAACAUCAGAAUGCCUUUCAGGAGGAUUAUCCUUUCGACCAAAGGAUUGGAUGGUAGUCACUACAGACGCCUCAAGCACAGGUUGGGGAGCUCACUUAGGAUCCACCAUGUUCCAAGGAAGAUGGUCAUCGGGGGAGGCCAAAGAAUCUGCAGAUUUCAGGGACUUGUUAGCAGUACUUUACGCACUACUUCACCUCAGGACUUGGAUACUACAAAAAGCAGUGAUGAUACAAUCGGACAGUAGUCUCAUAUCAAUCGUCAAGGAGGAACCAAAGUAAGGAAGCUUUUCGGUCUUUGUGCAGAAAUUAUGGAAUGGUCACAAAAAACCUGGAAGAUAUCAAAGCAGUUCACAUAAGAGGCAGCGAC